UACGUAGGGCGCAAGCGUUAUCCGGAAUUAUUGGGCGUAAAGAGCUCGUAGGCGGUUUGUCGCGUCUGCCGUGAAAGUCCGGGGCUCAACUCCGGAUCUGCGGUGGGUACGGGCAGACUAGAGUGAUGUAGGGGAGACUGGAAUUCCUGGUGGAGCGGUGAAAUGCGUAGAUAUCGUCAGGAAUGCCGGUGGUGAAGACGGGUGACUGGGCUGGUUCUGACACUGAGGCACGAAAGCGUGGGGAGCGAACGGG
RNAcentral lists this ribosomal RNA (253 nucleotides) under uncultured bacterium. RNAcentral describes it as "partial 16S ribosomal RNA". It matches the Rfam family "Bacterial small subunit ribosomal RNA", at positions 524 to 776 of the family's 1533-position model. The record is from RNAcentral.